AGCCUUCUGUAUCCGUGCUGAGGUUUCGUCACACACCAGACCAUAAGAGCUGAUGAGACUCCCAGAAUGGAACA
This 74-nucleotide microRNA precursor is filed under the name Schistosoma mansoni. RNAcentral's name for it is "mir-3492 microRNA precursor family". It matches the Rfam family "mir-3492 microRNA precursor family". The record is from Rfam by way of RNAcentral. Lineage: Eukaryota; Metazoa; Platyhelminthes; Trematoda; Strigeidida; Schistosomatidae.